ACUCUGGUUAGCUUAGUUGGUAGAGCCCUCCACUGGAAAUGGAGGUGUCCCGGGAUCGAUACCCGACCACACUC
Molecule: non-coding RNA, 74 nt
Organism: Ixodes scapularis (black-legged tick)
Lineage: Eukaryota; Metazoa; Arthropoda; Arachnida; Ixodida; Ixodidae
Source: Rfam